CUUUGUGUUGUCGCUGGAUAACUUUUCCCUUGGGGAGUGGCUUCUAGGCAAGUGGCUGAAGCUUAGAUGCACCCAAAUCCGAGCUUGGUCCAGCAACAAGGUCUAUGCCCCCUCCCAGCUGCUGGGUGGAGCUUCGAACCUCCUGGGAGGAAGGCCUUGACCACUUCAUCACCAGAAAGCCUGUUGUGGAAGAGCUACCAGCACACCACUGUUCCAGCUCUCCCUUUGUCCCUGCCCCCGAGGCCAGGAGGCCCCGGACCGCGGGCCAGGGAGCCCUGGGAGUCUGGAGGGACUCAUCCCCCGCAUGCCCAGGCUGCCUUGGGCUGGACCCGG
Molecule: long non-coding RNA, 333 nt
Organism: Callorhinus ursinus (northern fur seal)
Lineage: Eukaryota; Metazoa; Chordata; Mammalia; Carnivora; Otariidae
Source: RefSeq, a predicted model, not a curated record